This 207-nucleotide long non-coding RNA is filed under the name Dasypus novemcinctus (nine-banded armadillo). RNAcentral's name for it is "lncRNA (ENSDNOG00000051580.1)". Lineage: Eukaryota; Metazoa; Chordata; Mammalia; Cingulata; Dasypodidae. The record is from RNAcentral.
UGCAGUCUGGCUACUUCCUACUGAGAUGGAUGUAGCUAUGAAUUAUCUUGAUGGAAGUGUUGACCAAUGAAGGGUUUACUCACCUUCUCUUUCUCUGGUUGUGAGUGAAAAUCCAGAGGAAGGUAGGCGCCAGCUGAGGUACUGAAAAUGCAAUCACAGGUGAGUAUGAAAUUCUUCAACUGAAAUUGCACUUCUCUUGCCAGGAGU